GAUUCCAUGCCGAACUCAGAAGUGAAACGAAUUAGCGCCGAUGGUAGUGUGGGGUCUCCCCAUGUGAGAGUAGGACAUCGCCAGGC
Molecule: ribosomal RNA, 86 nt
Filed under: Vibrio diazotrophicus
Lineage: Bacteria; Pseudomonadati; Pseudomonadota; Gammaproteobacteria; Vibrionales; Vibrionaceae
Source: RNAcentral